This 492-nucleotide ribosomal RNA is filed under the name uncultured bacterium. RNAcentral's name for it is "partial 16S ribosomal RNA". It matches the Rfam family "Bacterial small subunit ribosomal RNA", at positions 29 to 507 of the family's 1533-position model. The record is from RNAcentral.
AGUGAACGCUGGCGGUAGGCCUAACACAUGCAAGUCGAACGGCAGCACAGUAAGAGCUUGCUCUUACGGGUGGCGAGUGGCGGACGGGUGAGGAAUACAUCGGCAUCUACUUUUUCGUGGGGGAUAACGUAGGGAAACUUACGCUAAUACCGCAUACGACCUACGGGUGAAAGCAGGGGAUCUUCGCACCUUGCGCGAUUGAAUUAGCCGAUGUCGGAUUAGCUAGUUGGCGGGGUAAAGGCCCACCAAGGCGGCGAUCCGUAGCUGGUCUGAGAGGAUGAUCAGCCACACUGGAACUGAGACACGGUCCAGACUCCUACGGGAGGCAGCAGUGGGGAAUAUUGGACAAUGGGCGCAAGCCUGAUCCAGCCAUACCGCGUGAGUGAAGAAGGCCUUCGGGUUGUAAAGCCCUUUUGUUGGGAAAGAAAAGCAGCAUGUUAAUACCCCGCUGUUCUGACGGUACCCAAAGAAUAAGCACCGGCUAACUUCGUG